Molecule: unclassified non-coding RNA, 421 nt
Filed under: Hevea brasiliensis (rubber tree)
Lineage: Eukaryota; Viridiplantae; Streptophyta; Magnoliopsida; Malpighiales; Euphorbiaceae
Source: RNAcentral
UGUCUUUGUGACAGCAAUUAUAUCUGCAAAAAAAUAUUCAUUGGUUCAUGUUUUAUGGUGGAGACUUUCUAAUUUAUUCAUAUUUACUGAAAAUAAGAUUUAUCCCUUGAGACUUAGCAGUACGGGUGUUCUUAGACUUGAGAAAAUAGGUCUGCAUGUCUGCAUUCUUAAGUACUCGUUACUUAUCCUUCCCAAACCUCUACGCCUUUUGUUAUAUAGGAAUAGUCUAUUAUGUUAUUUCAUUGUAAUUCAGCUGCAUUCCUUUCUGAUGAUACGAAGCAUUUAAGAUCACUAACUAUUUCUAAAUUCAUAGCAUAACAAUGAGGAUACUCCCUUGCUUUUGAUCAAAUAAAGUUUAUUGCAUUCUUCAAUGAUUUGUUGGUGUAAUUGGUUUGUUUCUCGUUUUUGCAGGUAAGGUGGG